This 337-nucleotide ribosomal RNA is filed under the name uncultured archaeon. RNAcentral's name for it is "partial 16S ribosomal RNA". It matches the Rfam family "Archaeal small subunit ribosomal RNA", at positions 133 to 475 of the family's 1478-position model. The record is from RNAcentral.
CGGAAAACUGGGGAUAAUACCCUAUAGACUAGGGAUGCUGGAAUGCUCUGUAGCCGAAAGGGCCGCCGCUGUAGGAUGGGUCGGCGGCCGAUUAGGUUGUUGUUGGGGUAACGGCCCAACAAGCCUGUAAUCGGUACGGGUGGUGGGAGCAAGAGCCCGGAGAUGGAUUCUGAGACACGAAUCCAGGCCCUACGGGGCGCAGCAGGCGCGAAAACUUUACAAUGCGGGAAACCGUGAUAAGGGAACUCUGAGUGCCCGUACACUCGGGCUGUCCAUUAGUUUAAAUAACUGGUGUAGAAAGGGCCGGGCAAGACCGGUGCCAGCCGCCGCGGUAACA